RNAcentral lists this unclassified non-coding RNA (163 nucleotides) under uncultured Penicillium. RNAcentral's name for it is "sequence contains ITS2". The record is from RNAcentral. Lineage: Eukaryota; Fungi; Ascomycota; Eurotiomycetes; Eurotiales; Aspergillaceae.
CUGCCCUCAAGCACGGCUUGUGUGUUGGGCCCCGUCCCCCGGUCCCGGGGGACGGGCCCGAAAGGCAGCGGCGGCACCGCGUCCGGUCCUCGAGCGUAUGGGGCUUUGUCACCCGCUCUGUAGGCCCGGCCGGCGCCUGCCGAUCAACCCAUUUUUAUCCAGG